Molecule: ribosomal RNA, 300 nt
Filed under: uncultured Sulfophobococcus sp.
Lineage: Archaea; Thermoproteati; Thermoproteota; Thermoprotei; Desulfurococcales; Desulfurococcaceae
Description: bacterial SSU rRNA
Rfam family: Bacterial small subunit ribosomal RNA
Source: RNAcentral
GGGUAACGUGGUGCGAGCGGCGGGGGUAAUACGGAGGGGGAAAUCGGUGAUCGGAAGUACUGGGGGUGAAGCGGGCGUAGGUGGUUCAGUAAGAGGGGUGUGAAAUCCCCGGGCUUAACCUGGGAACUGCUUUCAUAACUGCUGAGCUAGAGUACGGUAGAGGGUAGUGGAAUUUCCUGUGUAGCGGUGAAAUGCGUAGAUAUAGGAAGGAACACCAGUGGCGAAGGCGACUACCUGGACUGAUACUGACACUGAGGUGCGAAAGCGUGGGGAGCAAACAGGAUUAGAUACCCGGUAGUC